UGUUCUACAGUGAGUUCUGAGUAUACUGCACCGCCCUCGAGGACCUGCAGGGGGCGCGCGAAGCCAGCGUGUCUUAGGUGGCGGUGCGCAUACGCAGUCCGCGUCAGCAGCCAGCAUCUUCCCUGGGGGCGGAGCUUGUUUUCCUCAGGACUGAGCGGGCGGCGCCAUGGAGGCUCCAGGACAGCGCUGCCUGCGUGUCCGCGGGAGGAGGACGCUCCCCGCCCGCUAUCUGAAGUUACGCCAGUUUCCCACUGCCUGCGCCCGCUCCCUGCCGGGGUGUGUGUGGACCUGACCGAGCUGGGGCCCCGGCCGGCUGGGCAGGAGGGGACGGGUGCGCUGGCGGGCCCGCUUCGACUAUUCUCCUCGCCCGCAGGGAGCCGAUUGAAUCUGACUGAGACAUAACUUCGAUGAGAUCACACUGCUAUAAAACGUCAGUAUUGAAAAUCAAAUAUUUCAUACUAUUUCUCAAUCUUGAAAGAAAGAGUAUUUCCAAAAAAAAAAAAAAGAGGAGUUGUUAAGGAGACAAUGGAAAAGACUUCUAAAUAACUACAGCAUUUGGCCAGUUCACAAUGGAGGAAAUAAUGAACAGCUGUACUCUGAUAGACACUAAAAAAAUUCCUUUUAUGGGCCCCAAGAUCCCUGACAUCACAAGGAAAUGAUUCAUUUACAACUUGGGUAACAGAUCUUACCAAAUGUCCCAGGGAAGAAUUACUCCACGUGGAGACCUACUGCUUAAAAAAAUAAAUAAAUACAUAAAAAACUCUGAGCAACCCACCUAGCCACUUAAAAGCAUAAUCCUUCAGCCUCUCUUCCUUGGAAACCUGGUGGAAUCAGUGCUGCAGCUGUCACCCAUUCUCUACGAAAAUCACUGCCUUUGUCUGAAGUAGUAAAGCUGAGAUACUGCACUCAAGAACUCACUACCAAGCAGUGAGCAAUCUCCUCUCUACAAACAUCAUGGACUCAACUCAGGAGCCCUUUAACCUUUACCCUCUUCCUCCACCCUCUAAGGUAGAUGGAGGUAGUAACCAGAUGUGCUUUAUUCAAUCUAUGGUUUCUGCCAAUAGCCACAUUAGAGAAAUGAAGAUGCUCUUGUUGGUUCAAAAACGGACCCCAUACAUAGAGUGCAAAGAGAGACUGAAGAAAGAGGCAAACCACUCCAGACUGGUAUGUGGCAGGUUUAAUAAGCAUGGGAAGUUACAUAUGAGGUUUGUCUUUGGUGGCUGUGAGACAAAUAGACUUCUGAACCUGCUCAGCAGAAUCUUAAAAGUUUAUUUGGAGGCCUUUACUGGAUUCAGUCACAUGUACUUUCCAGAUGGUCUCCAUCAUACAUUGGUCUCUCAAGGCUGUGUCCUUGAAAACAGCUCCAGCUGUGGGAAAGGUGGUCAGAAGGUACAUGGAAAGGGCAGUGGAGGGGUUGAGGAGCUCUGAUUGGUGGGUCCAGCUCAUGAGUCAGCUGAAGUCACAUCCUCUCAUUGAUGACCUCCAAUAGCUCUUUGUUUCUUUUUUGAAGCUCAAAGAUCAAUCUUUACCUAAGCCUGUAUUAAGGACCUGUAUGUGUUAAUAAGCCAGGCCUGUUGACAUUUUAUAUCUAUUUAAAAGACCAUGGUGAUGUGUCCUUCCAUGGACUGUGAUCACAUGUAACCAUAGGUCCACAGUUUCUGCUCUGGAGAAAAUGAUAAAUAGGAACAGUGCAGAAUCCCACCUUUAGAUGAGCAGCUACCUUCAGAUGUGGCUGACAGAGGACAAGGUCAAUAAGCAGGCUAGUCCACUCUCAUCCAUCCUCUCUAAGAAAGAAGCAACCGCAGCUCAGGGUCUCUAGAAUUUCUAGACAGGUGAAGAAAGCCACAUUCUGGCAGGGGGCAUGAAUAGUGAACUUAAUAUCUAGAUAUCACUUGAUAUUUAAUUUGUCAGGGAAAAUUUAUUGAAAUAAUUUUGUCCAAUUCAUGUUGGUCAGUGUUGUAUCAGUUAUUUUGUGUUGAAUGAAAGAAACACCUGGAAACUUAACAACUUAAAAAGAUAACCAUUACUUCUGUCAGGUUCUCUGGGUCAAAGCAAGUCAUAGACAAGCCCAGAUUCACAGAACUGAGAUGCAGAUUCCAUCUCUUGAAUAGGAGGUGCUAUAAAAUAUGUUAGUCAUUUGUUUUGUAAUUUUUCUUAGAUGUUCUGAAUUUCAUUAAUUUUGCAGUUAAAACAAUUAAAUGAGGUGUUUUUCAAAGUAAGAAAA
This is a long non-coding RNA of Camelus dromedarius (Arabian camel), 2224 nucleotides long. RefSeq lists it as uncharacterized. NCBI's taxonomy places the organism in Eukaryota, Metazoa, Chordata, Mammalia, Artiodactyla, Camelidae. The transcript has 5 exons. The record is from RefSeq and is a predicted model, not a curated record.